CAAGACCACUGUCCUUCCCAGGAGUAAUAGGAGUAAGUAAGUCAGACCGUGACGGGUGGCCUAAUGGGAACAAGUACAGACUUGCACACGGUAGGCCAUCCUCAGAGAGCCAGCUAAGAGGAGCAGGACAAGGAUCUGAAAACUCCUUCAAGUCAAGAGUGAGCGAAUGGCAAUGACAAGACGGAAGCUGUGUGUAUUUCAUGGCCAAGGGCAUGCUGCCAGUGUCUUGUUUGACCUGCUCUAAACAGAAUAUGCCUGUCGUUCUCCCUUUCUGUCCCUUUCCCCUAUGUUCCAUGCUCAUAGCCGUCUCCCCUCCCCUAUAAAAGGGAUAUCUGAGGGAGGAUAAGCACUACAGGGCGGUUACAGACUCCAGCAACCCCAGCAGUCAUCCCUGCAGUGUACACAGAGAAAAUGAGAUGAUCCUGCCCUUUGCAGAACAUGUGCUAUGAUGUGUGGAAGCUGCAUCCUCUUAUCACUUAAGAUCCAUUGUGACGCGCAGGAGUCCUGUGUAGGGUUCAGUGUGAGUACUUGUCCACAGACAGCCUAGAGACUCGCUGCCCAUUCACUCUUCUGUGAGGACUACUACUAGUCCUUAGACUGCCUCAGCACUGCUUUAGCAUUUAGUGGUUCAAGGGGACAGCAGAUGACCCAGCAAAAUGUUCCAGCACCACCACCUGGUUUCCCACACCCAUGGUGCAAUCUAUCAUCAGUGGAUGGAGAGAGCAUUCUUCAAAGAGCUUUGUGUUCGAAUCUCCACCUCUGAUCUUCCCGUGUCAUCCUCCCAAGCUCCGACCGAAGGUCAGAGUAAAGAGAGACUGACAUCUUACGGUUUCCUUGCUCUACCUUCAGUAAGACGCUCUGAGUCAAUGUCUAAGGUCAGGUCAGCGCUACCUCGGGUGUAGAAUUAGAACUACACAAGAGUCUGGCUAAAUGCAGCGUGCCUAGAAGUAGGCCGGCUGCGGGAAGGCAAAGGUGGGAGAGUGGUACCCGAGGGGAACGCAGGCUCCAUUCUUCGCAGGCACAUUCAGUUCUUGUGUAAGGACCCACUAAGUAUGUGCACCGAAAUCUGAUUUAAAGCUCUCCCUGGUCACACUAUCUAUGGCCUGACUUCUCCCUGUUUGUCUUGUCAUCUGCUUUUCUCACAGGGGUGGGGCCUUUCAGGGGAGGGGGCAUGGAACUGCCAAGCUGAGGAGAAUGGAUUGGUGCUGUUUUUCUAGCCAGGAUUGCAAGCAUCUGUAUUCUAGUCUGGAAAGAACAAGACAGACAGGGCUCGUUCUCCGAAACAUUUCUUAAGAAUAACAGUGUUGCAAGGGUGCGAGGAGACUUGAUUAUUUGUCAUAACUUCCAAAUACUGUAGGCUCAGAGCGCAGAUCCUGACCUCCAACAGUGUUCUCUUGGCCUUUAACAGAAGCACCUUCCUCAUCCCAUGUUCAGCAGGUUGCAGUGUGGGGCUCUCAGGCUAUACCCCAGAGGCUUAUCAGAACAUCUUCUUAACUCUGUGGGUAGCAGGUUCAUCCUCCACCCUUUUUAUUGACAGGGAUGCAUGCCCCUUGCACAUUCAGAUGGUGGGUUCCUUUCUCUUUGUCUUGUCCUAUAAAGGCACUUGCCUUACUUGAAACUCAUGGAAAGCUUCUGUCUGAGGGUUUCGUAAGUGUGAGGUCAAGCACUAGACUUUGGAGCCCUGAAGGGUGAGAAAGAUGGUUUAACAAAGGAAGUACAAGCCACUGUGUCCUCAGGGCCUUACAGUCUGUAAGUUUAUAGUUUGCCUGAUUUGGAAGGCUGAGUAAACACAGACACACCUUUUCAAGAAAGAAUACAAACUCAUUAGCACAUAGUUCAGAAUGAAGCUGAAGUGUGGGGGAAAGGGCAGAGGUGGAAAUGUGUCAGGGAUGAUGUCGCCUUUAUCUGUAUAUGUGACUCCCUUGGGUUUUUAAAUUCACUUAUUUAAAAUAAAUUCUGUGGAUUUUGCUUCUGUGCUUUGACUGGGAACUCCCAGGACUCAAUAAUAUAUUUGUGUGUCUCUG
This 2024-nucleotide long non-coding RNA is filed under the name Rattus norvegicus (Norway rat). RNAcentral's name for it is "long non-coding RNA NONRATT027298". The record is from RNAcentral. Lineage: Eukaryota; Metazoa; Chordata; Mammalia; Rodentia; Muridae.